This 574-nucleotide ribosomal RNA is filed under the name uncultured fungus. RNAcentral describes it as "eukaryotic LSU rRNA". The stretch from base 132 to 293 matches the Rfam family "5.8S ribosomal RNA". Lineage: Eukaryota; Fungi. The record is from RNAcentral.
GUCAGCCUUCACCGGCCCCUCGUCACUCUCUGGAAGCAAUGCACGAGCAGUGCUAGUCUUGGUCCUUGCGGCCUUGACAAAACCAUUUGCGAUCCUUUUGNCUUUCAUACGUGAUAAUGGAAAAGAAUUACAACUAGUAGCGUUGGAUCCCUUGGCACGUCAUUCGAUGAAGACCGUUGCAAAAUGCGAUAAGUGGUGUGAUAUGCAAGUCCAAAACUUAUACGUGAACCAUCGAAUUGUUGAACGCACUGCAUCGAGCCUUACCCAGGAACGAUACGCCCCAUUGAGCGUCAUUAUCUCUUCGCGACUUGUCAUUUGCUUGACCUGUCCGGGUUCGGGAUUCAUGGCCUUUUGGCCAUGUUUCCUCAGAUUCAUUGCUGCACUCUAGCUGAGUGGGUGACCUUGUCAUGAAUUGUCAGGGGAGGCCAGCGGGCUUUGAGAUGCAAGAUCCUCCCUUGGGGAAGGACCAGCGUGGUGUCUACGGCACCUUCUUCCAAUGCAUGACCUCACGGGGGUGGGACGACCCGCUAGACUUAAGCAUAUUAAUCAGCGGAGGAAAAGAAACUAACAAGGA